GAUGAAGAACGUAGCGAAAUGCGAUACGUAAUGUGGAUUGCAGAAUUCAGUGAAUCAUCGAGUCUUUGAACGCACAUUGCGCCCCCUGGUAUUCCGGGGGGCAUGCCUGUCCGAGCGUCAUUGCUGCCCUCAAGCACGGCUUGUGUGUUGGGCCUCCGUCCUCCUCCCGGGGGACGGGCCCGAAAGGCAGCGGCGGCACCGCGUCCGGUCCUCGAGCGUAUGGGGCUUCGUCACCCGCUCUUGUAGGCCCGGCCGGCGCUUGCCGACACAUCAAUCUUUUUUCCAGGUUGACCUCGGAUCAGGUAGGGAUACCCGCUGAACUUAAGCAUAUCAAUAAGCGGAGGA
This 345-nucleotide unclassified non-coding RNA is filed under the name soil metagenome. Its description in RNAcentral is "partial contains 5.8S ribosomal RNA, internal transcribed spacer 2, and large subunit ribosomal RNA". The stretch from base 1 to 120 matches the Rfam family "5.8S ribosomal RNA", at positions 35 to 154 of the family's 154-position model. The record is from RNAcentral.